Molecule: ribosomal RNA, 2570 nt
Filed under: Enterobacter cloacae
Lineage: Bacteria; Pseudomonadati; Pseudomonadota; Gammaproteobacteria; Enterobacterales; Enterobacteriaceae
Also listed under: 1 other name
Description: bacterial LSU rRNA
Rfam family: Bacterial large subunit ribosomal RNA
Source: RNAcentral
UGCUGUGAACUCGAAGAGUAGGGCGGGACACGUGGUAUCCUGUCUGAAUAUGGGGGGACCAUCCUCCAAGGCUAAAUACUCCUGACUGACCGAUAGUGAACCAGUACCGUGAGGGAAAGGCGAAAAGAACCCCGGCGAGGGGAGUGAAAAAGAACCUGAAACCGUGUACGUACAAGCAGUGGGAGCCUCUUUAUGGGGUGACUGCGUACCUUUUGUAUAAUGGGUCAGCGACUUAUAUUCUGUAGCAAGGUUAACCGUAUAGGGGAGCCGAAGGGAAACCGAGUCUUAACUGGGCGUUAAGUUGCAGGGUAUAGACCCGAAACCCGGUGAUCUAGCCAUGGGCAGGUUGAAGGUUGGGUAACACUAACUGGAGGACCGAACCGACUAAUGUUGAAAAAUUAGCGGAUGACCUGUGGCUGGGGGUGAAAGGCCAAUCAAACCGGGAGAUAGCUGGUUCUCCCCGAAAGCUAUUUAGGUAGCGCCUCGUGAACUCAUCUUCGGGGGUAGAGCACUGUUUCGGCUAGGGGGCCAUCCCGGCUUACCAACCCGAUGCAAACUACGAAUACCGAAGAAUGUUAUCACGGGAGACACACGGCGGGUGCUAACGUCCGUCGUGAAGAGGGAAACAACCCAGACCGCCAGCUAAGGUCCCAAAGUCAUGGUUAAGUGGGAAACGAUGUGGGAAGGCACAGACAGCCAGGAUGUUGGCUUAGAAGCAGCCAUCAUUUAAAGAAAGCGUAAUAGCUCACUGGUCGAGUCGGCCUGCGCGGAAGAUGUAACGGGGCUAAACCAUGCACCGAAGCUGCGGCAGCGACACUAUGUGUUGUUGGGUAGGGGAGCGUUCUGUAAGCCGUUGAAGGUGUGCUGUGAGGCAUGCUGGAGGUAUCAGAAGUGCGAAUGCUGACAUAAGUAACGAUAAAGCGGGUGAAAAGCCCGCUCGCCGGAAGACCAAGGGUUCCUGUCCAACGUUAAUCGGGGCAGGGUGAGUCGACCCCUAAGGCGAGGCCGAAAGGCGUAGUCGAUGGGAAACAGGUUAAUAUUCCUGUACUUGGUGUUACUGCGAAGGGGGGACGGAGAAGGCUAUGUCAGCCGGGCGACGGUUGUCCCGGUUUAAGCAUGUAGGCGGAGGUUCCAGGUAAAUCCGGUACCUUAUUAACGCUGAGGUGUGAUGACGAGGCACUACGGUGCUGAAGUGAUAAAUGCCCUGCUUCCAGGAAAAGCCUCUAAGCAUCAGGUAACACGAAAUCGUACCCCAAACCGACACAGGUGGUCAGGUAGAGAAUACCAAGGCGCUUGAGAGAACUCGGGUGAAGGAACUAGGCAAAAUGGUGCCGUAACUUCGGGAGAAGGCACGCUGAUAUGUAGGUGAAGCCCCUGCGGGCGGAGCUGAAAUCAGUCGAAGAUACCAGCUGGCUGCAACUGUUUAUUAAAAACACAGCACUGUGCAAACACGAAAGUGGACGUAUACGGUGUGACGCCUGCCCGGUGCCGGAAGGUUAAUUGAUGGGGUUAGCGGCAACGCGAAGCUCUUGAUCGAAGCCCCGGUAAACGGCGGCCGUAACUAUAACGGUCCUAAGGUAGCGAAAUUCCUUGUCGGGUAAGUUCCGACCUGCACGAAUGGCGUAAUGAUGGCCAGGCUGUCUCCACCCGAGACUCAGUGAAAUUGAACUCGCUGUGAAGAUGCAGUGUACCCGCGGCAAGACGGAAAGACCCCGUGAACCUUUACUAUAGCUUGACACUGAACACUGGUCCUUGAUGUGUAGGAUAGGUGGGAGGCUUUGAAGCGUGGACGCCAGUCUGCGUGGAGCCAACCUUGAAAUACCACCCUUUAAUGGCUGGUGUUCUAACGUAGACCCGUAAUCCGGGUUGCGGACAGUGUCUGGUGGGUAGUUUGACUGGGGCGGUCUCCUCCCAAAGAGUAACGGAGGAGCACGAAGGUUGGCUAAUCCUGGUCGGACAUCAGGAGGUUAGUGCAAUGGCAUAAGCCAGCUUGACUGCGAGCGUGACGGCGCGAGCAGGUGCGAAAGCAGGUCAUAGUGAUCCGGUGGUUCUGAAUGGAAGGGCCAUCGCUCAACGGAUAAAAGGUACUCCGGGGAUAACAGGCUGAUACCGCCCAAGAGUUCAUAUCGACGGCGGUGUUUGGCACCUCGAUGUCGGCUCAUCACAUCCUGGGGCUGAAGUAGGUCCCAAGGGUAUGGCUGUUCGCCAUUUAAAGUGGUACGCGAGCUGGGUUUAGAACGUCGUGAGACAGUUCGGUCCCUAUCUGCCGUGGGCGCUGGAGAAUUGAGGGGGGCUGCUCCUAGUACGAGAGGACCGGAGUGGACGCAUCACUGGUGUUCGGGUUGUCAUGCCAAUGGCACUGCCCGGUAGCUAAAUGCGGAAGAGAUAAGUGCUGAAAGCAUCUAAGCACGAAACUUGCCCCGAGAUGAGUUCUCCCUGAGACCUUGAGUCUCCUGAAGGAACGUUAAAGACGAUGACGUUGAUAGGUCGGGUGUGUAAGCGCAGCGAUGCGUUGAGCUAACCGAUACUAAUGAACCGUGAGGCUUAACCUUACAACGCCGAAGGUGUUU